This is a non-coding RNA of Dermacentor andersoni, 1912 nucleotides long. Lineage: Eukaryota; Metazoa; Arthropoda; Arachnida; Ixodida; Ixodidae. The record is from RefSeq and is a predicted model, not a curated record.
CAUUGGCAUAACAAACGACUUUCAAGUAACCCGUGUGUGCAGUUGUAUGCGACAAUAGCCUACUAUUUGGAAUGACUGUUCGUACGAUCUUAAGUGCGUAAUGCCGCCAUACUCAAAUGCUUCUAAAAUUUAAAAGCUGCCUUCACUGCUGAAAGUUUUUAGUGGCUCCACCACAUAAAAUGAGCUGCAUUUGCGCAUUAGCAGUGUUACUUGGCUGUCAUUGCAAGGAAUAGUUGUCUGUGAAGCACGCUCCAAAUCUAUUGGCAUGAAGGACAUGUUUAGUUAGCCUGAAAAUGUUAUUCUAAUACGCGAAUUGCGGAGAAGGUAUGCUCAAGUGUGGUUACUGCUCAGCUCGAGCAGGAGCAUGUUCACCAAAUUGCAGAAGUCAAAACAGCUCUCCAGGUUCUGAGAUGUGAAACAGUAGUUUCACCAAUUUUAACAGACCACAUCGAAUUAAGGUUGCUCCUAUAUUGAAGGAGGUCCAUGUGAUGCGAGACAGCAGCCUUUUAGCAGAGGGAACCUGAGUGGUGUGGCAAUUUUCUUUUGGCUGUUUCAAUCAAAGAAACAACAGGGACAGAGUUGCAAGCAUUGCUGUCAACAGUACUACGUUUAGUGGGCGCUUACUCAUUCUAAGCACUUAACCUAUGACUCGUAUUUAUUAACGCACACUUUAUCACUUUGUAUUCUAAGAUAUGAAAAAAAUAUUUAUGUGUAUUCUAAGAUAUGAAAAAAUUUAUGUGGCUUUUCCCCAUAUACUUCAAUAAAUUGAGAAUAGGCUCUUGGGGCCUAGUGUAUAAAGCUUCUUACAGACCAUCGGACAUGUCCACUACUCCCACACUGAAAUUGUUAGAAUUGAUUCCUGCUUCCUUACUUCACCUACCUGUUAACAGGGUUAUGAACCAUUGCCAAGUGCUUAAAUUUAUCAAAAAGAUGAAUGGGCUUUUCUGUCGCUCUUGUUUAGCCCGUUGAGGAUCACAUUUUGGGGAGAAAUAUGCCUCUCUAAUUUAGGAGUUAUAUAUUUUUUGUGGUGUGCAAAUGCUCAAAACUUUCGAAUUGAAUAGUGUCCUAUUCAAUUUAGUCUUUGAAUGGUCACUAUUUGUAAAUGCGAGUAUUCUAAUAUUUCGAAACACCAAUAAAACAUGAAAUUUGAGCCAAAGUACGGUAAAUUUUCACCUCCAAUAACAUAGUGUAGACAUAAAACGUAACAACUUGUAAUAGCAGACCAGGCUACGUUACUUCAGUAGCUGUACAUUAGAAGCUGUACAGCAAUCAUUUAUGCUUACUGAAGAGUCCUGUGCAUGUGAAGAAACUUUCUGCUGCUCCAUUUGUGCUUUUAAUAAACAGCUUUUCAUAACAUAACAAUGACAGAAACUUGCUAACUUUAAUAAUACUAGGAUGUGAGCCUCAUCUUACAUUAAUUGUGAUAUCAGCUGUUCAUUAUUCAGAAACUAUCCAUUAUUUGAUUUGCUUCUAGCAUUAUUCGGUUCAGCCUCAAAAAUCACUUUUCGCCCACCCUUAAUAUUUUUAUUGCAGAUUUACGUUCUUCAGAGUGACAUUCCGAGAAAAUAAACAGGCUUCACGUGUCGCAAAUUGCCUGGUACCAACAUGCCCUAUGUAAAGAACUGUGGCCUCGCUUCUCGCAUGGGACCAAUAACCUCUCAAGAGCCCAAGUUGGACAGCUCAAACCAAAACACAAGUGUUGUGCUUUUGUAACUCUCGACAUUUUUAUGUUCUGUGUUAGUCCCCUGAAGGGCCCAAUUUGGAUUUCUCAAAUGAGCUUACAAAUGUUGUGCCUUUCUAUGCCUUCACAUUUUUAUGUUAAUUUUAUUUAUGUUAAUUAUGCUAGUCUCCUGAGAAGUCCACAUUGGAUUGCUCAAUCCAGAAUACAAGUGCUGUGCUUUGUUAUAGUUCA